RNAcentral lists this ribosomal RNA (1152 nucleotides) under Triticum aestivum (bread wheat). Its description in RNAcentral is "partial small subunit ribosomal RNA". The record is from RNAcentral. Lineage: Eukaryota; Viridiplantae; Streptophyta; Magnoliopsida; Poales; Poaceae.
AUGCUCUUCAUUCUCUUGCUGGCAGCUUAUUUCAUGGUGUUCAUCAUCAUGAUGGUCUUUGGCACCUGUUUGGUUACAGCGGCAGCACCCGUUGCAUUCGUCGUUGGGGAUCGAUGUAACUCAGAUGCCAACUGCAAGUCGGGACUAUCUUGCCGCAAAUGGACUGGAACUGGAUGCAACCGUAAAAGAUGUGUCCGGACAACAGUCGCUAGCCCGUUCGACACAGUUGACAACUCACUGCCAUUCAACAAGUAUGCGUUCCUCACGACGCACAACUCAUUCUCAAUAACAGAUAUCCCAACCUUCACAUUGUUCAACCAGGAAGAUUCGGUCAACGAUCAACUGAAUAAUGGCGUUAGAGCACUGAUGCUAGAUCUAUAUGACUUCCGGGAAGACAUAUGGUUGUGCCAUUCAUACGGAGGAACGUGCAAGGACGCCACCGCCUUUGAGCCCGCCAUAGGUACCAUGAGAGAAAUAGAGGCCUUUCUUGUAAUGAACCCAUCAGAGGUGGUGACACUCAUCCUCGAGGACUAUGUCAAGUCUCACCGUGGCCUCUCCAAGCUGUUUAUCAAGACAGGCCUCACCAAGUACUGGUUUCCGGCAUCGAGGAUGCCACAGAACGGGGAGGACUGGCCCCGUGUCAGCGACAUGAUCAGGCUGAACCGGCGUCUCGUUGUCUUCACCUCCAACCGAUUCAAGGAGUCAAGUGAAGGAAUUGCCUACCAAUGGAACUAUAUGGUCGAAAACAUGUAUGGUGAUGUCGGAAUGGACUCUCGUGUCUGCCGCAAUCGCUCGGAAUCGGCUGUCCUAAGCGACAGAAGUAAAUCAUUGGUUCUUGUGAACUAUUUCCGCUCGCGGCCGGUCCAAGGGUCAACAUGUAUGGAGCACUCGCGAGGGCUCGUGGAGGUGCUCCACACAUGCCACGCUGCUGCCGGCAACCGUUGGGCUAACUUCUUGGCUGUGGAUUACAAGAGAAGCAAUGGUGGGGGCGUCUUCCAAGCUGUGGACAUGCUCAAUGGGAUGCUAAUCUGCGGCCACGAUGAUGUGCAUGCUUGCAGCGGGUGGACAAGUCCACCCUUGUUCUUGUUUCCUUUCCUUCGUGGCUUGUUCUUGAAGCCUGCUGCCUACUUGUGGCGGGCUGUUCUGUUGUAG